UACGUAGGAGGCGAACGUUAUUCGGAUUUACUGGGCGUAAAGGGAGCGUAGGCGGUUCUUUAAGUCAGAUGUGAAAUCUUCUGGCUCAAUCAGAAGGUGUCAUUUGAUACUGAGGGACUUGAGAGCAGCAGAGGGAAAUGGAAUCCCCGGUGUAGCGGUGAAAUGCGUAGAUAUCGGGGAGAACACCAGUGGCGAAGGCGAUUUCCCAGGUUGUUUCUGACGCUGAGGCUCGAAAGCGUGGGGAGCGAAGCGGAUUAGAUACCCGCGUA
RNAcentral lists this ribosomal RNA (269 nucleotides) under uncultured prokaryote. Its description in RNAcentral is "partial 16S ribosomal RNA". It matches the Rfam family "Bacterial small subunit ribosomal RNA", at positions 524 to 792 of the family's 1533-position model. The record is from RNAcentral.